RNAcentral lists this ribosomal RNA (1201 nucleotides) under uncultured Chitinivibrionia bacterium. RNAcentral's name for it is "bacterial SSU rRNA". It matches the Rfam family "Bacterial small subunit ribosomal RNA", at positions 45 to 1216 of the family's 1533-position model. Lineage: Bacteria; Pseudomonadati; Fibrobacterota; Chitinivibrionia. The record is from RNAcentral.
UGCUUAAUACAUGCAAGUCGUGCGAGAAAGUACCCUUCGGGGUGCGAGUAGAGCGGCGAACGGGUGAGUAACACGUAAGCAACCUGCCUCUAAAUCUGGGAUAACCUUGCUAACGCGGGGCUAAUACCGGAUGUGAUCCAUAAAUCACAUGGUUAUUGGAUUAAAGGUGACCUCUUCUUGAAAGUUACUGUUUAGAGAUGGGCUUGCGGACCAUUAGCUUGUUGGUAGGGUAACGGCCUACCAAGGCUGCGAUGGUUAGCCGACCUGAGAGGGUGAUCGGCCACAUUGGGACUGAGAUACGGCCCAGACUCCUACGGGAGGCAGCAGUAGGGAAUUUUGCGCAAUGGACGAAAGUCUGACGCAGCAACUCCGCGUGAGGGAUGAAGGCCUUCGGGUUGUAAACCUCUGUUGAGUGGGAAGAAAAAGCCUUAUACUAAUAUUAUAAGGCCAUGACGGUACCAUUCGAGGAAGCACCGGCUAACUACGUGCCAGCAGCCGCGGUAAUACGUAGGGUGCUAGCGUUGUUCGGAAUUACUGGGCGUAAAGAGAGCGUAGGCGGAAAGGUAAGUUAGAAGUGAAAUGCAUCGGCUCAAUCGGUGACCUGCUUUUAAAACUGCUUUUCUUGAGUAUUGGAGAGGAUGAUGGAAUUCCAGGUGUAGCGGUGGAAUGCGUAGAUAUCUGGAAGAACACCAGUUGCGAAGGCGGUCAUCUGGCCAAAUACUGACGCUGAGGCUCGAAAGCUAGGGGAGCGAACAGGAUUAGAUACCCUGGUAGUCCUAGCCGUAAACGAUGGACACUAGAUGCCGGAAGUGUUAUGCUUUCGGUGUCGAAGCUAACGCAUUAAGUGUCCCGCCUGGGGAGUACGCUCGCAAGGGUGAAACUCAAAGGAAUUGACGGGGGCCCGCACAAGCGGUGGAGCAUGUGCUUUAAUUCGAUGCAACGCGAAGAACCUUACCUGGUCUUGACAUGGGAGUGAAACUAUCCAGAGAUGGAAAGCUUUCCUUCGGGAACACUCUACACAGGUGCUGCAUGGUUGUCGUCAGCUCGUGUCGUGAGAUGUUGGGUUAAGUCCCGCAACGAGCGCAACCCCUGUCCUUAGUUGCCAGCACGUCAUGGUGGGAACUCUAGGGAGACUGCCUGGAUUAACCAGGAGGAAGGUGGGGAUGACGUCAAAUCCUCAUGGCCCUUACGACCAGGGCUA